This 542-nucleotide ribosomal RNA is filed under the name uncultured Actinomycetes bacterium. Its description in RNAcentral is "bacterial SSU rRNA". It matches the Rfam family "Bacterial small subunit ribosomal RNA", at positions 395 to 947 of the family's 1533-position model. The record is from RNAcentral. Lineage: Bacteria; Bacillati; Actinomycetota; Actinomycetes.
CGCCGCGUGAGGGACGACGGCCUUCGGGUUGUAAACCUCUUUUAGCAGGGAAGAAGCGAAAGUGACGGUACCUGCAGAAAAAGCACCGGCUAACUACGUGCCAGCAGCCGCGGUAAUACGUAGGGUGCAAGCGUUAUCCGGAAUUAUUGGGCGUAAAGAGCUCGUAGGCGGUUUGUCGCGUCUGCUGUGAAAACCCGAGGCUCAACCUCGGGCCUGCAGUGGGUACGGGCAAACUAGAGUGCGGUAGGGGAGAUUGGAAUUCCUGGUGUAGCGGUGGAAUGCGCAGAUAUCAGGAGGAACACCGAUGGCGAAGGCAGAUCUCUGGGCCGUAACUGACGCUGAGGAGCGAAAGCGUGGGGAGCGAACAGGAUUAGAUACCCUGGUAGUCCACGCCGUAAACGUUGGGCGCUAGAUGUGGGGACCAUUCCACGGUUUCCGUGUCGCAGCUAACGCAUUAAGCGCCCCGCCUGGGGAGUACGGCCGCAAGGCUAAAACUCAAAGGAAUUGACGGGGGCCCGCACAAGCGGCGGAGCAUGCGGAUU